RNAcentral lists this ribosomal RNA (440 nucleotides) under uncultured bacterium. RNAcentral describes it as "partial 16S ribosomal RNA". It matches the Rfam family "Bacterial small subunit ribosomal RNA", at positions 338 to 795 of the family's 1533-position model. The record is from RNAcentral.
CCUACGGGUGGCAGCAGUGGGGAAUAUUGCACAAUGGGGGAAACCCUGAUGCAGCGACGCCGCGUGAGUGAAGAAGUAUCUCGGUACGUAAAGCUCUAUCAGCAGGGAAGAAAAUGACGGUACCUGCCUAAUAAUCCCCGGCUAACUACGGGCCAGCAGCCGCGGUACUACGGAGGGGGCAAGCGUUAUCCGGAUUUACUGGGUGUAAAGGGAGCGUAGACGGCAGCGCAGGUCUGGAGUGAAAUGCCGGGGCCCAACCCCGGAACUGCUUGUGAAACUGGGGAGCUCGAGUGCAGGAGAGGUAAGCGGAAUUCCUAGUGUAGCGGUGAAAUGCGUAGAUAUUAGGAGGAACACCAGUGGCGAAGGCGGCUUACUGGACUGUAACUGACGUUGAGGCUCGAAAGCGUGGGGAGCAAACAGGAUUAGAUACCCUUGUAGUC